AACGAACGCUGGCGGCAGGCCUAACACAUGCAAGUCGAGCGCGCCCUUCGGGGUGAGCGGCGGACGGGUGAGUAACGCGUGGGAACGUGCCCUUCUCUGCGGAAUAGCCUCGGGAAACUGAGAGUAAUACCGCAUACGCCCUUUGGGGGAAAGAUUUAUCGGAGAAGGAUCGGCCCGCGUUGGAUUAGGUAGUUGGUGGGGUAAUGGCCCACCAAGCCGACGAUCCAUAGCUGGUGUGAGAGGAUGAUCAGCCACACUGGGACUGAGACACGGCCCAGACUCCUACGGGAGGCAGCAGUGGGGAAUCUUAGACAAUGGGGGCAACCCUGAUCUAGCCAUGCCGCGUGAGUGAUGAAGGCCUUAGGGUUGUAAAGCUCUUUCAGCUGGGAAGAUAAUGACGGUACCAGCAGAAGAAGCCCCGGCUAACUCCGUG
Molecule: ribosomal RNA, 433 nt
Filed under: uncultured bacterium
Lineage: Bacteria
Description: partial 16S ribosomal RNA
Rfam family: Bacterial small subunit ribosomal RNA
Source: RNAcentral